AUUGAACGCUGGCGGCAGGCUUAACACAUGCAAGUCGAGCGAGCGGCGGACGGGUGAGUAAUGUCUGGGAAACUGCCUGAUGGAGGGGGAUAACUACUGGAAACGGUAGCUAAUACCGCAUACCAUCAGAUGUGCCCAGAUGGGAUUAGCUAGUAGGUGGGGUAAUGGCUCACCUAGGCGACGAUCCCUAGCUGGUCUGAGAGGAUGACCAGGCAAACUGGAACUUGGACCAGGUCCAGACUCCUAAGGGAGGCAGCAGGGGGGAAUAUUGCACAAUGGGCGCAAGCCUGAUGCAGCCAAGCCGCGGGGGGGAAGAAGGCCUUCGGGUUGGAAAGCACUUUCAGCGAGGAGGCGGUACUCGCAGAAGAAGCACCGGCUAACUCCGUGCCAGCCGCCGCGGUAAUAC
RNAcentral lists this ribosomal RNA (406 nucleotides) under uncultured bacterium. RNAcentral describes it as "partial 16S ribosomal RNA". It matches the Rfam family "Bacterial small subunit ribosomal RNA", at positions 29 to 526 of the family's 1533-position model. The record is from RNAcentral.